GAUUAACGCUGGCGGCGUGCAUAACACAUGCAAGUCGAACGAUAAAACUUAGUAUACUUCUUCUGAAAGACACUCAACGGGGUAGUGGCGAACGGGUGAGUAACGCGUGAGUAACCUGCCUUACACAAGGGGCUAGCCUUUGUACACGAAGAAUAAUACCCUAUAAAACCAUAAAAGCACAUGCUAGAAUGGUCAAAGUGAUAGCGGUGUAAUAUGGACUUGCGUCUGAUGAGCUAGUUGGUGAGAUAAAAGCUCGCCAAGGCAACGAGCAGGAGCCGGCUUGAGAGAGUGUACGGCCAGAUUGGGACUGGGACACGGCCCAGACGCCGACGGGAGGCAGCAGUGGGGAAUUUUGCACAAGGGGGGAAACCCUGAUGCAGCGACGCCGCGAGAUUGAGAAGGCCUUCGGGUUGUAAAAAUCUUUUGUAUAGGACGAAAAUGACAGUACUAGACGAAUAAGGUCCGGCUAAUUACGUG
Molecule: ribosomal RNA, 477 nt
Filed under: uncultured bacterium
Lineage: Bacteria
Description: partial 16S ribosomal RNA
Rfam family: Bacterial small subunit ribosomal RNA
Source: RNAcentral